AUUGAACGCUGGCGGCAUGCCUUACACAUGCAAGUCGAACGGCAUCGCGGGAAAGCUUGCUUUCCUGGCGGCGAGUGGCGAACGGGUGAGUAACACAUCGGAACGUACCGGCUAGUGGGGGAUAACCCGUCGAAAGACGGGCUAAUACCGCAUACGCUCUUCGGAGGAAAGCAGGGGACCUUUUGGCCUUGCGCUAGCCGAGCGGCCGAUGUCCGAUUAGCUAGUUGGUGGGGUAAAGGCCUACCAAGGCGACGAUCGGUAGCGGGUCUGAGAGGACGAUCCGCCACACUGGGACUGAGACACGGCCCAGACUCCUACGGGAGGCAGCAGUGGGGAAUCUUGGACAAUGGGGGCAACCCUGAUCCAGCAAUGCCGCGUGGGUGAAGAAGGCCUUCGGGUUGUAAAGCCCUUUCGGCAGGGAAGAAAUCGGCGGGGCGAAUAACCCUGCUGGAUGACGGUACCUGCAGAAGAAGCACCGGCUAACUACGUG
This 490-nucleotide ribosomal RNA is filed under the name uncultured bacterium. Its description in RNAcentral is "partial 16S ribosomal RNA". It matches the Rfam family "Bacterial small subunit ribosomal RNA", at positions 29 to 507 of the family's 1533-position model. The record is from RNAcentral.